GAGGGUAUAGUUCAAGUGAUAGAGCACACGCUUAGCAUGGCAUGGGGUCCUGGGUUCAAUCCCCAGUACCUCCU
RNAcentral lists this transfer RNA (74 nucleotides) under Camelus bactrianus (Bactrian camel). It matches the Rfam family "tRNA". Rfam says of the family: Transfer RNA (tRNA) molecules are approximately 80 nucleotides in length. Lineage: Eukaryota; Metazoa; Chordata; Mammalia; Artiodactyla; Camelidae. The record is from Rfam by way of RNAcentral. RNAcentral also lists the same sequence under 1 other name.